Long non-coding RNA from Acanthopagrus latus (yellowfin seabream), 2207 nucleotides. RefSeq lists it as uncharacterized. Lineage: Eukaryota; Metazoa; Chordata; Actinopteri; Spariformes; Sparidae. The transcript has 4 exons. The record is from RefSeq and is a predicted model, not a curated record.
GUUAGAUUUUGAAAGAGAGAAAAAAAAAAGAAAAAAAUGGACGGGGCCGACGGGACGUCACGAUGCGCCGUCGCCACAAAGCUCAAUACGCCGCUCAUGAACGCGCUCACUUGGCUCCCAGCAUGCCGCACGUCCGGAGGGACCGCUGCCUACCAGGAGCUCAACCAAACCCGCAUCUGCAUCUGAGGAGGACACAAAACGUUCACCUGAAAGACCAAGAAAUGAAGACGAUGACUUCAUCCGACCUCCAGGUGCGUCCGACGUUGUGCGUCACUGAGAGCUGCGUCCGCAGGCCUGAGGGGUUGUCUGUUAUCUUUGGUUAUCUAGCUGUAUGAGUGACGUACAUUCUUCAUAAAGCUAGAUAACCGAAAGUAACAAGAAUCCCAUUACACGCCUGCACGGAGGAAGGAAAAGCUAAAUAAAACGAACAAGCGCCAGCAGCAGAGAGGAGUGGGCUCGGACGAUGCCAGCCGAUGACGUGAAGGUGUGUGAUCCAUCUGGAGUUGGGAAUCAUCUGAUUUUUGCCCCUCCGCUCUUUGGACUGUGAGUCACACAGGACUACGUCGUUUACUGCUGAUAUACUGGCGGAGAUGCACGGAUUCUUGGAAAGCAGCUGUCUCCAACGACCUGACAGUGGACAGAGUUAAAACUGUCAGUGGAUACAGGAGUCAGUUUUUGCUGCUGCUGCUGCUGCUGCUGCUGCUGCGACAGAACAUCUUAGUGACGAAGAAGCAAACCAGAAGACUUUGAUACAAGUGGACAAACUGACAUUUGACCGUCACAAGGCUGAAACUGUGAGAGUAAAGGACUUCUAAGUGGAUCUGUGUGUGUGUGUGUGUGUGGUACACUGUGUUCUUGGGAGCUGCACUGCACAGCUGUUCAGGAAACAUCUGCACUAGAUUUUCAUGUAGGUCAGAGAUUAGAUCACUCGAUCUUGAUCUCUCUCUCUCUGUCUCUCUCUCUCUCACACACACACACACACACACACACACACACACACACACACACACACACACACCAUCUAACAAAUUGUUGCAAUGUUUUUAAUUAUUAGUUUAGUUCACUAGUUAAACAAUAGAUGCUCUUAAUAUGUUAGAUCUUAAAUUGUUGAUUUUUUAAAUGUAGUUUUGCAUGUUCAUUUAUCUUUUCUUUUCACUUAUCUUUUAAAUCCUAGCGAAUUAGCGAUUACAUUUAUGUAUUUGUCUCAUGUUAAACUUUAGAUGUUUCAGUUGAGUUGUUGACAAUCUGUGUGACUGGAGUACUUGAAUGACUUGAAAUUAUUUUUCUGGAGCAGUGUCAAAAAUGUUGAUCCAUCAACUAUGAAUUUCAUAUCAAUCCUUUACUGUUUUUAUAUAGCAGGUUUUGUUUUUUCGCAAUUUACCAUCUCAUAACUGUAUACGAGAGUACAUUCCGAUUUAACCGCAGUAUAACCUUUGUUAAUCCAGAUGAUUUACAGUACAAAAUGAUUUGGUGGUUUAAAUAAGGUCUUGUAAAUUUUAUUCAAAAGCCACCAAUCACUACAUAACAUUUUUUACUCUGUGUAUAAUACCUUUAGAUGGGGGCAUAAUUUCAUUGCAACAUGUAAUCAUUUUUAUCAAAUUGUGUUUUUACUUUUAGUGUAUGUCUAAUCAAGAGAGUUUUGUGCAAUUAUAACUACAGUAUAUUAACUUUUUUAUCUAUGCAAAAGAAAUGAGUGACAGUUUUUGUUAUGUUUGCACUAUUUGUGUGAGUGUUUGCGCGUCAGCAGCUAAUGUACGGGUUUGUCUGAGAGGAACGUGGUGAAUGCUGAUGUUUUAUGAAUAUGCAUGAUAUGAGCAGAGGUGCAAUGUGUGUGUUGUGCUGUUGUUAAAGAGUGUUUUUUUAUGUUUUAUUUGACAAUCAGUCAGAUAAAGAAAUCUGGAUUUAUUCCACAACCCCACAUUUUAAUUCCACAUUUUGUUUGUUGAAUCAUCUCUGACAGUUUAUUAUGAUUACGCGAAUGCACUGAAUGAGUUUUGUUUUGAUCUAAUGCUGGAGAACUUGCGGAUAUGUGCAAUACUAUUUUAGAGGGAUUCAUGUAACUGAUUUUAUCAUAAUGCACUAUGAUCUUCUGUUUCGGGAGUCUUAUAAGCUUGAUUUGCACACGAGCUGCUGUUAAUGCGCUCGAUAUUUGUUGUACUAUGCAACUGUGUCUUCUGCAGUUAAUCAAUAAAAGUACUAAUGUUUAC